Molecule: ribosomal RNA, 253 nt
Filed under: uncultured bacterium
Lineage: Bacteria
Description: partial 16S ribosomal RNA
Rfam family: Bacterial small subunit ribosomal RNA
Source: RNAcentral
GACGUAGGGCGCGAGCGUUGUCCGGAUUUAUUGGGCGUAAAGCGCGUGUAGGCGGCCCCUUUUGUCGCGUGUGAAAGCCCCGGGCUCAACCUGGGAGGUGCGCGCGAAACGGGGGGGCUUGAGUUCGGGAGAGGAGCGUGGAAUUCCCAGUGUAGAGGUGAAAUUCGUAGAUAUUGGGAAGAACACCGGUGGCGAAGGCGGCGCUCUGGACCGAGACUGACGCUGAGGCGCGAAAGCGUGGGGAGCAAACAGG